Molecule: ribosomal RNA, 590 nt
Filed under: uncultured Clostridium sp.
Lineage: Bacteria; Bacillati; Bacillota; Clostridia; Eubacteriales; Clostridiaceae
Description: bacterial SSU rRNA
Rfam family: Bacterial small subunit ribosomal RNA
Source: RNAcentral
AGCGGCGGACGGGUGAGUAACACGUGGGUAACCUGCCUCAUAGAGGGGGAUAGCCUCCCGAAAGGGAGAUUAAUACCGCAUAUACUCUCGGUAUCACAUGAUACUUAGAGGAAAGGAGCAAUCCGCUAUGAGAUGGACCCGCGGCGCAUUAGCUAGUUGGUGAGGUAACGGCUCACCAAGGCGACGAUGCGUAGCCGACCUGAGAGGGUGAUCGGCCACAUUGGAACUGAGACACGGUCCAGACUCCUACGGGAGGCAGCAGUGGGGAAUAUUGCACAAUGGGCGAAAGCCUGAUGCAGCAACGCCGCGUGAGUGAUGAAGGCCUUCGGGUUGUAAAGCUCUGUCUUUUGGGACGAUAAUGACGGUACCAAAGGAGGAAGCCACGGCUAACUACGUGCCAGCAGCCGCGGUAAUACGUAGGUGGCAAGCGUUGUCCGGAUUUACUGGGCGUAAAGGAUGCGUAGGUGGAUAUUUAAGUGGGAUGUGAAAUACCCGAGCUCAACUUGGGUGCUGCAUUCCAAACUGAAUAUCUAGAGUGCAGGAGAGGUAAGUGGAAUUCCUAGUGUAGCGGUGAAAUGCGUAGAGAUUAG